GGACACUGCAGUAGGCGGGAAUAUGAUAGGGAGCUUGAAGUGAAGAUUGUAUCAAUAUGUGGACGUAAAUGAGGUGUUGGCAGUGAGUCUAUGCGCUGCCCUCGGUGAGCUGGCUGGUCCUUCACUGCUGUUUGCUGUUCAUACGUUCACAGCAGGGUUUCUUGGUUAGGAGGCUUCUCAGCACCCCGGGAGUUGGGGACAAAUCGGGAUAUUUCCCGGGACCUCAGGGAUUUCUCGCAUCAGUACACAAGCUAACGUGAUGAGUGAGGCUAGUACUGGAACGGUACAGGCAAGGACUCUAUGUGCUGCGAGGACCUUCCACUCAAUGCUGAAUUUUUGCUGUCGCAGCGACGGUGGCGCCUCCAGCGGCCAGAGGGAAGCAUUACCCCCAAUCGUGAUGGACAGGUGUAGUGGUGUGCUGUGGUGGUGGUGGUGCAGCACGUGUGCCAGUCACCACGCAACACAGGGGGAGGGUUCUCACAGACGGCUCCAGACCCAAGGAAUCCUCACGGCUCCAAAGUUCUUUAAUCUCACCAACUAUUUUCACGCCAUGACUAACACUCCACAGUAUUUAAUUUUAUCUUAUUAUCUUUGUGAAUGUGAAUAUCCACAUUAAAAUCGAUAGCAGUAAUUCCUUUUGAACCUUUGGUGCGGCACAGACACUAGUAGGGAAAUACUGUGUUCAAAUAUAUCUUCUUUACUUAUUGCUUUGUUGGGAUUCCCAUGACCAAGUGGAUAGAAGGACAAUCUUGGGAACAUGAGUGUUUGGUCGCCAGCGUUGAAAUCCCUAUUGUAACUUUAUAUAAAAAAAAAUACAUGUUAGAAAAAUGUCCACAUUAUAAUAAACAAUAUUUCCUCUUUAAUAUUUAUUAACUAGAAGAUAAAAUGCGUAAACAGACUAACUUUGCACUAUAAAUCAGAUGGGUCCUCGUGGCCCAGUGGGUAGAGGGAUGAACUUUAAGAUUAGCGUGAGGGAAGCAUGGGCUCGAACCCAACUCGGAACUUGCAAAAAAAUUCAAAGAGCAUCCACUCCAUAACUAUGUGUGCCUAUAAAACCCAGUAUGGGGAUGGAGCCCCCAGGGGAGCUUCUCUCCCCCACCCCCUGUCCCAUCCUGGAAACUACAAGGACCACCAGACUGACUCAUUCAGACAGGAUAGGAUAUGCUAGAAUAGGUUAGGAUAGGAUUAGAUAGGAGCGAGUUAGUUUGGUGAACCAUCUAGUGACCAGAGUAUGGAUGAGGACAGAGUACGGAUGAGGAAGCAACAAAAGAAGAAGAAGGAUCACCACCGCCAACAGCAGAGGAAGAAGAAGGACCACCAGCAGCAGAGGAAGAAGAAGGACCAUCAACACCAGAGGAAGAAGAAGCACCAGCAGAGGAAGAAGAAGCACCACCACCAGCAGCAGAAGAAGAAGCCAGCAGCAGAGGAAGAAGAAGGACCACCAGCAGCAGAGAAAGAAGGACCACCAGCAGCAGAAGAAGCCAGCAGCAGAGGAAGAAGGAACACUAUCAGCAGCAGCAGAAGAAGCCAGCAGCAGAGGAAGAAGGACCACCACCAGAGGAAGAAGGACCACCACCAGAAGAAGAAGGACCACCACCAGAGUAAGAAGAAGGACCAGCAACAGAAGAAGAAGAACCAGCAGCAGCAACAGAAGAAGAACCUCACCACCAGCAGAGGAAGAAGAAAACCACCACCAGCAGAGGAAGAAGAAGGACCACCACCAGUAGAAGAAGAAUUACCACCACCAGCACCACUCCCACCAGCAGAGGAACAAGAAUUAGGGCCACCACCACCAGCAGCAAGAGAAUAAGAAGGACUACCACCAGCAGAGGAAGAAGAAGUAGGGCCACCACCACCAGCAGCAGAGGAAGAAGAAGGACCACCACCAGCAACAACAGCAGAGAAGAAGGACCACCAUCACCAGCAGAGGAAGAAGGAACACCAUCACCACCACCACCAGAAAGAACCAGCAGAAGAGAAUGAGGAAGGACCACCACCACCGGCAACAGCAGAGGAAGAAGGACCAACACCAGCAGAGGAAGAAGAAGGCAGAAGCAGAGGAAGAAGGACCACCACCAGCAGAGGAAGAAGAAGAUGCACCAAAACAAUAAUAAAUAAGAGGAAGAAGAAGCACCACGACCAUCAGAGGAAGAACAACUAACAACAACAACAACAACA
This is a long non-coding RNA of Scylla paramamosain (green mud crab), 2178 nucleotides long. RefSeq lists it as uncharacterized. NCBI's taxonomy places the organism in Eukaryota, Metazoa, Arthropoda, Malacostraca, Decapoda, Portunidae. The record is from RefSeq and is a predicted model, not a curated record. The transcript has 3 exons.